This is a non-coding RNA of Camellia sinensis, 1581 nucleotides long. Lineage: Eukaryota; Viridiplantae; Streptophyta; Magnoliopsida; Ericales; Theaceae. The record is from RefSeq and is a predicted model, not a curated record.
AACUGGCAAACGGGAAUUUAAAAUAAAUCUUAGUCACAUAUAGUUUUUGAAAUUUUAGGAUAAAAUUUAUAUUUUAUAUCCACCAACUUUCACUAUAACCACAUAUUCUAAUUACAAAAAUUAACUUCCCACCGUUUAGAAUUUGAAUAAAAAAUAAAAUGAGGAACUAAAUAAUAGAUUGUUUAUGAGUGAGUAAGAUCAAAGAUGAUAUGAUGGUCGAUAGAUUGUUUGUUCAAGAAAACAGAUGAUGAGUAAUUGAGAUCAAAGAUGAUGUGAAAAUCCAAAUAAUAGAAUAAAUUUGUUUAUAUGCUUCAAUGAAUUGUUCCAGUUGCAUAAUAAGAUGAAAUGCCGGCAAUGUUCAACUUGCAUAUAUGAACCUUACAUCUACUGUGGGCAGUGUUAAGUUUAGUUGUUAAGGCAAUUGUGUUGGUUCUUUAUCUUCAUAUGUGUGCAAAGCAUAUAAGCUCAUUAUCUGUUUGUAUAUAUGCUUCAAAGAAUUGUGACGGUUGUCUUAGGUCCUAGGGAGAAAAACAUCUUUGAUAUUGGCUGGUCCUCCACCCGUGGAAUAUGAGAGAGCUUUCGAUGGAUUGCCCUGAGUUUGUAUGUAUGGAAAAUAAAAAUUGGUCUGAUGUAGAGAUUUUAUGGUGCUCACAUUUGUUGAACCUUGUACGUUGUGUGGAAAAGGCAUAAUUAAAUAUUAUGGUCAUAAAUGCUUUUCUGCAGGGAAUGGUGUUUGACCUGGAGAAGGGAUCCACCUUAUACAUUGAUCUACCAAAAUCUAACACGAGAUCUAAGCGCACCAGAACUUUUUUAUUCAGCUUUUCUGCUGCCUAUGUUUCUACUUUUCGUUAACUGUUGGUGGCCUUAAUGUGAACUUGUUGAUUAGGUGAUGAAAAACCUGGCUCGGAGAAGAGAAGUAAAGGAUCUGCUGCAUUUUCAAGGGGCAUUCAUGAUCCUGUGGUCUAGUUACCCUCAAAUACUCUAAAGAACUCUGUGGACUCGUUCUGUGGUCGUUGGUUGUCAAGCCAUCUGUUAAAUAUGUCAACAUGAGAGCUUUAGCUAUGAAACUAAUUCUUUGCGAAAGCAAGUGCCUCAUUUUAGCUAUGAGAACUCUGCGAAACUAAUUCUUUGCGAAAGCAAGAGCUAUUCCAGUCUUUUCAAGUUGCCAUGGAUUUAUAAAAUUGAAGAUGCAGAGCACAUAUGGAACUCCGGUUGCAUUUGCUGAUUUUCAGAUGUUUUUGGACAUACAAAUGUGGAUAUGUUUUUUUUUACUAGUACGGGAGGGCAUUGUUUUUAUAUCUCUAUCCGUAUGUAUAGUGGUUUGUACAAAUUAUUUUUUUGGUGUGGUAAAUAUCAGUUAAGUUGGCAUGGUAGAAAUUAACAUAGAACGUGAUACAAAAUAGUUUUGGGGCAGUACAAAAUAUAAUUUUUGUUGUGGUACAGAAGUUCUAGGUGUACAAUUAAUUUUGUUAUUCCCGUAUUAUGUAUGGAAUUAAAUUAUUGACGUUGGAUUAUACUUGGUUCUUAUGGAAUUUGUUAUAUAUAUAUAAUUGGACGUUCAAUAUUAAUUAUUUGGAUGGU